AUGAAAAUAAGAUGUGAGAGAUAGUGCCCCACCGCGCCCGGCCAAUUUUUAUUCUUGUUUAAUCCAUGGUAUGACUCUUAUUUUCAUAGUUUUCUAUUAAACAUUUUGUUUUUCAUGUAUAUCAUUAACCACGACCUCUGCAUUGUGAACAAAAAUCCCUAUGGCUGAAGCAGCUGAAUAUCACAUAUGUUUGAUAGUAAGGAAUCUG
Molecule: long non-coding RNA, 208 nt
Filed under: Homo sapiens (human)
Lineage: Eukaryota; Metazoa; Chordata; Mammalia; Primates; Hominidae
Description: non-protein coding lnc-SYNCRIP-1:1
Source: RNAcentral